AAUUCAAACUCGCAACAAGCUUCCUCAAGAAGACUAAGGUACGUCUCUGCUGUACUUUCUGAUUCAUUAACAAUUAAAAUUCAAAAUUCAAAUUUGUAAUUAAAGUUUACUAAUGCUCUCUCCAAGCUAUCUGCUCUCUCUUCUUCACUUCUCACUUCUUUCAUGUAAUCUCUAAUUUUCUUUUACGUUUCUCUCAUUUCUAUUCCUAAUCAUUCUUCUCUAUAAUCUGUAUUUGAAGUAUUACUUUCCUAACAAUUUCUUUGUCUUUUAAUUACAGGUUAAACUUUCGUUGAUAAAACGUUUGAUGAUUUGUCUAAGUGAGAAAAUUUUACUUUCCUAAUAACUUCUUUGUUUUUUAAUUGCAGGCUAAAUUUUUGUUGACAAGGUGUUUGAUGAUUCAUCUAAAAGAGAAAAAAAAUGAUAAAUUGGUCAUUUCUAGCUCUUUCUCUUAUACAUGGUUGCUGACUUUUUGUAUUGUGUUUAGUAAGUUUGCAUCCUCCGUGUGGAACUUAAGUUUGCACUGGAUGAUUGUGACAUUAUAAUGGAGUUAAUAUGACAAGAAGAAGAAAACU
RNAcentral lists this long non-coding RNA (572 nucleotides) under Daucus carota (carrot). Its description in RNAcentral is "long non-coding RNA (DCAR_LNC004146)". The record is from RNAcentral. Lineage: Eukaryota; Viridiplantae; Streptophyta; Magnoliopsida; Apiales; Apiaceae.